This 811-nucleotide long non-coding RNA is filed under the name Zostera marina. RNAcentral's name for it is "long non-coding RNA (ZMAR_LNC002296)". Lineage: Eukaryota; Viridiplantae; Streptophyta; Magnoliopsida; Alismatales; Zosteraceae. The record is from RNAcentral.
UGUGGUCAUGUUUUGUCUUUCUAAUAGCAUCAUAAGAUGGUCAUUUGUCAAUGUAUAGCUUGGUUGACUGUGAGAAUUGUUUGCCCAACUAUCAGUUGGGUAUUCUUCUUCAUAUUGGUUGUCAUUCUCAAAUUGCUCAUUCUGUUUUUCAUAGUGUUCAUGAGAGUCUUGUUCUUUUUCAGUGUAUGUGUUAUUAGCUCUGGAAUUUUUCCUGUUGCCACUAUAACCUUUGUUAAAAUAAGGCUUGUUGUCUCUUCUUGUAUAGCUAUUUCCCUGGUUGUAUGGUCUGUUUGGUCAUUUUGAAUUCAGAGAGCUACCACCAUUAAAAUUAUUGCUGAAAGCAUGUUUUUCUGAAUAUCCAUUUAUUUGAUAAUAUUUCUCAACAAUAUGGCAUGAUCUUUUGCAAUGUAUGCAAAAGGUCCUUUCUCUUAUUUCAGGCUUGGGUGGUCUGUAAAGUCCUUGAUUGUUAGCUAACAUGGCUGUGCUAAUUUCUGAGUUUGGUGCUGUGUGACUUCUUUGUUGCUCCUCUUGCUUUAUUAUUGGGUAUAAAUCACGCACCAUGCUUAGGAGUUGGUUUUUGAGUCAUCAAUACUUCUCUUAUGGUCUGAUAUGUUUCAUUUAAACCUAUUAAGAACUUGACUGAUCUCUCGAAUUCAUCUGGAGGAUCAGUGUUUUUCUUGUUUGUAUCAUAAGUGUUCCAUAGCUUUGUGAGCUUAGUGUAAUAAGUACAGACUGAGUCUUAACUUAGUUCAAACAGAAUUCUUAUCAGGGUUAUAAUAAAAACAAAUGAGGUCUGCAUAAUAAAAACAAA